This 3142-nucleotide long non-coding RNA is filed under the name Homo sapiens (human). RNAcentral describes it as "HSALNT0161394". The record is from RNAcentral. Lineage: Eukaryota; Metazoa; Chordata; Mammalia; Primates; Hominidae.
GUUCAUUUUGUUUCACAGAUAUGGGAAGUUUUCAGCUGUCUGGGGGUUUUUCAUAUAUGCUUUCUGGUUCUCCUUCUCCCCGCUCUCUCUCUCCUCUCUCCUCCCCCUGGAAAAUCUCUUGAUGUGAAUAUAGGUCUGCUUGAUGGUAUCAAAUAAGUUCCUUCAGCUUUCUUCAUGCCUUUUUUUUUAUUAUCGUUUUCUCUUUCGCUCCUUUGACUGAAUAAUUUUACAUGGCCAGUCUUUGACUUCACUGAUUCUUUCUUCUGCUUGAUCUAGUCUGCUGUUGAAGCUCCCUAGUAAAUGUUUUAGUGCAGUUAAUGUACCGUUAAGCUCCAGGAUCUCUGUUUGGUACCCUUUAAUAUUUUCUAUAUCUUUAUUGAAAUUCUCAUUUUGUUCAUGCAUUCUUUUGUUAACCUUGGUGAACAUACUUUAUGGCAGUUAUUUUACAUUCUCCAUCAGGUAUAUCAUAUAACUCAGUUUCCUCUGGGUCAGCUUCUGGAGCUGUAUUUUGUUCUUUUGUUUGGAACAUAUUUCUUGUUUCUUCAUUUUCCCUGACUCUAUGUUGGAGUCUUACACAUUAGACAAAACAGCCACCUCUUUCAUAUUGGCCUCAUACAGGAGAAGACCCUCACGAAUCAGCCUUGCUAGGGAUUCUAGGAGCCUUUUUAACCUUCGUGCACAUUCAAUCCCCUUUCUUUGUUCUUAGCAGCCCCCAGGCAUCUAGAGUGCACUAAGUCCUGUCAGCACUUCAAGAGAAGUGGUACUGAAGUCACUUCCACGGACAGGCUCCAGAAAAGUUGGAUCAUUGGACACUCUGUCAAACUGUUUCUCUUCCCUGGGAGGAUCUAAGAUCUGGGUUUUUGUUUUGUUUUGUUUUUUGUUUUCCUCUUUGCUGAUCCAGAGAAGGGGCUAUGAGAAGUAGAUAAAUGCUAGUUCGAACCAUCAUCUGUGUCCUCACUUGACCCCCAGCUGGGGUUGCCAUCAGCACUCAAGACAGGCGAGACAGAAGUCAGUCCUCUGGGUAGUCCCAAGAAAAUUGGGGUCAUUGGACAUGAGAUCCACUUGUUUUCACCUCCAGAAGAAGCUUGAAGGGAGAAGCUUGGAGCUAGGACUUUACCUCCCAAGUCUAUGGAGCUCUGACAGAGGUCUUUGGCAGUUCAGUCUGGAAAAGUAAACGCUAUUUACCCAAAAGACAGUAAUUUUAAACUCCCCUUUCGGAUGGUCUCCAGUGAGAAAUGAAGCUGAGGAGGUGGAGAGGACAGGAGGGGCUGUUCCUCCAGCUGUUGGAAGCAAUCUUGGCUUGGAGAAGAAUGUCUGAUCCAACCAUAGCACACUGGAAACGUUGGAGCCGUCAGUAUCCGGGGAGCAAUUCCAGAGAAGGCCUAACUUCCAACAGCCCAGGCUUUUCAUGAACUAUUCUGGUCGUUGUUUCUCUGUUUAGGGAGUUCCCUUUGGCAGGAGCUGCGAUUUACACAACAGAAGGUGACACCACUGGCAGCGGAGCAUGCCUCUUCGAAUCCCCUACCCGGGCAGUGCUCAGCUCCUUCUUCUGCUUCAUGCUCCAAAGCUAGGAACCCACUGAAAACCCCUGCUAUGCAAGCCCUUUUAUUUAGAUUCAGGCGGCUUUAUUUUCACUUCCUUCCCUUCGAAAUGCAGGAUACUCUUUCUCAAAGGCAGAUUAGAUGUUCAACACUCUGACUACAUUCAACUAAAACCCCAGGUGAUCCCCAUUAAAAACCAGUCAGGCUUUGGGGGAGAUGCCAGAGGGGGUGUUGUUGUGACUUGUUCUUUCUGGAAGCCUAAGCCAGUGUCUGGUCUCUUCUAUGUCUGGUGUGGCCCAGCUGGUGAGGGGGCCUCUGCCAAGCACUGAGAAGUUAGCAUAUUACAUCCUUAUUACAUUCAACUAUCUCUCUCUCUCUCUCUUUUUUUUUUUUUUCGGUCAUGCAACUUGAGUGUGUUUGGGACUAAGGCCUUGAGUUUCUGCAUUCUGUGUCUUCUAUCAGCUGCUUUCACUCUCACAUUUGUGACACCCAAUAUUGCAACUGGGGCCUCCAGGGUGAGACUGUGCAUCCCUAGGAAGCACUGUUGUGAUGGAGCCAAAAGGCCUGUGUCUUCCGGGGACAUGAACUUCCCAGCCGAGUGUUACCACAGCCAGUAACAGACGUAAAACUCAUCUCUUCCCUCUAGGGUCCAGCAAAAAAGCAAAAAUCCCAGAAGCUGAGCUGCCUUUUCACCCAGCCCAGCUAGAAUAGACUGCUGUGCUCAAAUAGACAGAGGACUCCAUGGAAAAUGUGUUUCCCAGUCCUUUCUCUCCUAAUAUCCCUAACAGGAGAGAGAUCACGCGUCCACAUGCAUAGAGGCAGAGAAAGAAAAGGAAAGAAAAAAGGUGAUAUUUUAUUUUGCAAGUUCUACUGCAGCCAAAUUGUUCCCCUUUUAAGAAGUUGGGGAAAGUCAGGAAAGUGAGAGUAGAGAAAGAGCAUUUAUUGAGUGCCAAUUAUUUAUUCAUCAAUUAUUAGGUGUUUGCCCUGUACUAGGUAGCGUGCUUCAUGUAUGUUUCAGGGAUUUAAUGGUGAUUAUAUAUCUAAUCUUUAAAAUAACUAUAUAUUUUUGUCUUGGGGCAAGGCUGAUUAUAACCUCUACUUUUACAGAUGAGAAAACUGAGGCCUCUUUCAGGUUGCACAACUUGCAUGUGGCAGAGCAAAACUCUGAAGCCAGGUGCAUUUUGACUCCAGAGCCUGUGCAGUUGCUACCCACUCUGAUCCUCUUACAGGGUCAUGUGAAAUGAUGUGGAAUAAUUAAGUUUAUUAUAUCAUGGCAUUGAAAUACCAAUUAAACACUAAAAUCAUGAUGAUAAUAUAAUUCCAAAGAAAAACUUGGUGUUAGGGUUAUGGGCAGUUUAUGUGUUCAACAAUUACAUACUUUUUGAUAUUGAUAUACAAGUAAAAUAAAGGAAAAAUAUUGUAUUAAUAACGUUUGCUGUGGAUCUGCUUCUGGGAGGGAAAGAACUGCUUUAAGUAGCCUUGGUACUAAGACAAUAAACCACGGAGAGCCAAGAACACAUAGCCUCAUGCAUAGUAACAAAAUCAUCUCAUCCAAAAGGAUGAUCAAAUCAAUACUAACUAUAGGAAUAUUUCUAAAUUUG